UCCAAAGUGCAGAUUCAGGGCAUAUGACCCGCCUGUAACCAAAAACGUAAAUGACAAAGAUGUUUGAAAAACAAGGAAAGAACAUAUUAAAAAAGACGAAGCCAUUGGACGAGCAUUGCCUAUUGCCAUUGUUGUUGGAAUCGCAAUUCUUGGUGGAAUAUACUUCUACCUGGACAACACCUAUUAAGGUCUUGAAUUGAAGUUUUGUACUCAACAUAGCUUUUUUUCUCAUCACCCUGUACUUGUGAGGGUAGUGAUCUCUUUUAACAUCGAUACUGCUACUCUUAAUUCUUUUUGUAUAAUUGUACUAGUGAGAAAUAUUGAAGCAUAAACAUGAUGAAAGCAUAUUGAUAUCAUAUUCUAUAUCAUCUCAAUGUCCUCAUUCCUGUUUUUAA
Long non-coding RNA from Chenopodium quinoa (quinoa), 395 nucleotides. RefSeq lists it as uncharacterized. Lineage: Eukaryota; Viridiplantae; Streptophyta; Magnoliopsida; Caryophyllales; Amaranthaceae. The transcript is spliced from 2 exons. The record is from RefSeq and is a predicted model, not a curated record.